Molecule: ribosomal RNA, 470 nt
Filed under: Ptychadena nana
Lineage: Eukaryota; Metazoa; Chordata; Amphibia; Anura; Ptychadenidae
Also listed under: 1 other name
Description: partial 16S ribosomal RNA
Rfam family: Bacterial large subunit ribosomal RNA
Source: RNAcentral
GAUUCAACGGCCGCGGUACUCUGACCGUGCGAAGGUAGCACAAUCACUUGUUCUUUAAAUGAGGACUAGAAUCAAUGGCAUCACGAGGGUCCCACUGUCUCCUUUUUCUAAUCAGUGAAAUUGAUCUCCCCGUGAAGAAGCGGGGAUAAUUUUAUAAGACGAGAAGACCCCAUGGAGCUUCAAACUCAACAGAUAACUCUAUGACUACAAGAUAUUUUAAGAGACCUAUCCGUUAGUCUUGGGUUGGGGUGACCACGGAGAACAACCUAACCUCCGCAGUGAAAAGAAUAAAAUCAUAAUCCGAGAGCCACACCUCUAAGAAUUAACAAAUUAACAUACAGUGAUCCAAUUUUUAUUGAUCAAUGAACCAAGUUACCCUGGGGAUAACAGCGCUAUCCACUUCUAGAGUCCCUAUCGCCAAGUGGGUUUACGACCUCGAUGUUGGAUCAGGGUGUCCAAGUGGUGCAGCC